Molecule: non-coding RNA, 103 nt
Organism: Octopus bimaculoides (California two-spot octopus)
Lineage: Eukaryota; Metazoa; Mollusca; Cephalopoda; Octopoda; Octopodidae
Source: Rfam
CUACUUUAGCAGUACAUAUCCUAAAAUUGGAAUGAUACAGAGAAGAUUAGUAUGGUCCCUGUGCAAAGAUGACACACAAAUUCGUGGAACAUACCAUAUUUUC